AAACGAAGUAGAAAGUGAUACAAUCCAAGGAACAGAUUUAAGAUGAAGAUCACCGUCAUGACGAUCCUGACGAAACUGUAAAACCCUAAUUUCAGCUUUACAUUACAAACCUCACUCACUUGCAAUGCGUGCGUAUAUCUCUCUCUGUAAAGGCAAAUGCAGAUUCUGUUGCUGCUUCAGAAACAGCAACCGCCAUGUGAGAUGGAAGGGAGGGAUAUGAGGAAUUCUGAGGAGCUGAGUGCCCUUGGUGUCAAAGAUGAAGAUUUGAUACUGAUAGUAUGCAAUGCUGCUUAAGAAAUCGUAUAGCGACCCAUCCACCAGAGGGCACACCCACGGUAUUUCUUUCAACAGGGUCGACCAAAUUGAAGUUUGCAGGGUCCUUAUUUUGGUCAAAGUUCCCAAACCCUUGGCCAAUAACAAAGAAAUUAUAUCCAUGCAGAUGAAGAGGGUGGCUUUCGGCACCAAGAAUGCUUGUGUCCUGCAUGAUCAACUCCACGCUAGUGUUAAAUGGAAGUACCACUAGCUUUGUACCA
Non-coding RNA from Prunus avium (sweet cherry), 533 nucleotides. The record is from RefSeq and is a predicted model, not a curated record. NCBI's taxonomy places the organism in Eukaryota, Viridiplantae, Streptophyta, Magnoliopsida, Rosales, Rosaceae.